GAUGAACGCUAGCGGCAGGCUUAAUACAUGCAAGUCGAGGGGCAGCAGGUUUGUAGCAAUACAGAUGCUGGCGACCGGCAAACGGGUGCGGAACACGUACAGAACCUUCCUUUAAGCGGG
RNAcentral lists this ribosomal RNA (120 nucleotides) under uncultured bacterium. Its description in RNAcentral is "partial 16S ribosomal RNA". It matches the Rfam family "Bacterial small subunit ribosomal RNA", at positions 28 to 140 of the family's 1533-position model. The record is from RNAcentral.